CACUCACGCCCACCUGCUGCGAUGGGUACCUUGGGUCCAUUUAGCCUGUUCUUGCUUUUUGCGUUGUCUCAGCAGAACGUCUUCGUAGCCGCCAGCGACGUGCUCGGGAAUUCUGAUUUCGAUUACACGGUAGCAGAGUACGAGACUGUUGGAGUUCUUCGCUAAUGAAUUAGCACGCACGAACGACAGCCAUCUAAACAUGUUUAGUGUGGUCACCGCCAGCAACUAGCCCCAGAAUAUGAAACUGCAGCAACAAAACGAAAAGGGACAGUGUCUUUAGCUAAAGUAGACUGCACAGUGAACUCUGAGACGUGUGGACGUUUUGGCGUCAAUGGGAACCCCACCACACUCAAAAUCUUCCGCAACGGAGAGGACUUUGCUGCUUAUGAUGGACCCAGGAGUGCAGCUUCAUGAAAAAACAGGCAGGUCCCAGUUCCAUUCCUCUGCACAGAGACCUGGAUGCAUUCAUCAACAAUUUUGAAGCCAGUGUGGUUGAACGGUGGUGCUCUUCCGGCCCCCACGACUCAACAGCAAGUUUGAGGACAGCAUGAUGAUGGCAUGGGGCAAAUUCACCUAGUCCCUAUAAACCUGAUGGCCAGCUGGUGAAGGCCACAGCACGGGGACAGAAACUUCUCUUACCUGAUACCCACCUCUCUCUUUUUCUCUCUCCAUCACUUUCACUACCCCUUCUCUCUCCCUAGGGUGAUGAAAGUGACCACUCAGUUCCAGUCUCAGGGACUGAGUUACGCUGUGGCCAACAGAGCAGAGUUCCAGGAUGAGCUGGAGGAGGAGUUUGGCCCGGGGCCGUCCGACGGGGGAAAGUUGUCUCUCAUCACCAUCAGGAACAGGGAGGGCCACAAGUACAGCAUGCAGGAGGAGUUCACAUGAGUUACGACAACACAUGACCAUCACAGACCCUUCCUUAUGCAGUCUGGCCAGCUGUCACACUGCUAAUCUGUCCAUCCAUUGCAGACGGGACGGGAAAUCCCUGGAGAGGUUCUUGGAGGACUACUUUGCUGGUAAACUGAAGAGACCGGUCUGCUAUUUUAAUCUCAUCUGUUGUUGUCCUUCUUCCCAGUUUCCCCGCUAUUUUCUUUGUCUCAGCAGGACAGAAGGACCAACCUCGGAUAUACAAGGGUGGCCAUGAGGUGAAUGAUUUCCUCAACUAUCUGAAGGAGGUGGCCACACAUCCCCUUGUCCUGGGCACUGCCAGAGAAGACUUGUGAGAGCGCAAUGAAGAGAGAGAAGAAAAAACAAGGGAUGAGUGGGUGGACUGGCAAAGAAGCAGAAGACAUGAACUAUAAGGGGGAAAAAGGAGCCAUCCAUUGCAAUACACAGUUUCCGACCAGAAGAUCUCCUUUGGGUUUCUCUGACUUACCAGCAACACUGAAUACUCAUAACAUAGAGGACUUCUACAUUUAAAAAUCUGCAGUUUUUUCCAUGGGGCUUCAAAAGAGUAAUGUUCUCAAUGUGAGAGGAUGGAGCAUCUGCAAGUACAGUAAUAGGCAACACGUGCAGAUUGGUUUUGCAGUUAAACUGGUGACUUGGUGGUUGCUAUUAAUAUUCCCAAGAAAGGCAUACUAGUGUAGCGUCCUUGACUCUGAGUAAGGUACCUCAGUCAGACUAUAGAUAAAUGUAGAAAAGGAAAAAUUAUGUGCAACAGUUUAUGCAAAGUUGCUUACGGGUACAAAUAAAAAAGUGCCUGCUCAGCAAAUAGAUAAAAAUAGAAUCAAAUGUCUGAUACAGGGGCCUCCCGAGUGGUGCAGCGGUCUAAGGCACUGAGGCGUCACUACAGACCCGGGUUAGAUCCCGGGCUGUAUCACAACCGGUCGUUAUUGGGAGUCUCAUAGGGCGGGGCACAAUUGUCCCAGCGUUGUCCGGGCAAGGGGAGGGUUUGGCCGGAGGGCUUUACUUGGCUCAUCACGGUCUAGCGACUCCUUGUGGCUGGCCGGGUGCCUGCAGGCUGACCUCUGUUGUCAGUUGUGUUUCCUCUGGUGUUUCAAAGGUUGUUUCCUCUGACACAUUGGUGCAGCUGGCUUCGGGGUUAAGUGGGUGUGUUUUAAGAAGCGAGGUAGGUGGGUCAUGUUUCGGGGGAUGACUCUACCUUUGCCUCCCGAGCUCUUGAGGGAGUUGCAGCGAUGAGGGAGAAAAAAGGGGAAACAAACAAAAAGUAACAAAAUAUCUGAUACAAAAAGAUUUACACAAGAAAAUAAAUUUGACAUUACAUUUUGGUCAUUUAGCAUGUGGUUUCCCAAACUCGGUCCUUGGGCCCCCCUGCGUGCAGUUUUUUCGCCCCUAGCACGACACAGUUUUCUCAAAUAGUUGAAGCUUGAUGAUGAGUUGGUUAUUUGAAUCAGCUGUGUAGUGCAAGGGCAAAAAACAAAAUGAGUUUGGGAAACUGUGUCUUAGCAGACACACUUAUCCAGUUUUGUGUGAAAAUAGGGUGAAGACUACUGAAGCACUAUGGACAGGCUUAGAUUUCAGUUGGACUUUUAUGCCAAGAAUCUCAUCUGGGUAUGUCUUUCUUUUUGACAUACAUUUGCACACUUUUGUGCAUCUUCCAUAAAUGCUCUUGAGGAGAGGCAACCUAGUUGGGCCAGUAACCGAAAGGUUGCUGGAUUGAAUCCCCGACCUAAUAAGGUACAAAUCUGAAGUUCUGCCCCUGAACAAGGCAGUUAACCCACUGUGCCCCGGUUGGCCGUCAUUGUAAAUAAGAAUUUGUUCUUAUUAACUGACUUGUCUAG
Oncorhynchus masou masou (cherry salmon) is the source of this 2744-nucleotide long non-coding RNA. RefSeq lists it as uncharacterized. The transcript is spliced from 6 exons. The record is from RefSeq and is a predicted model, not a curated record. Lineage: Eukaryota; Metazoa; Chordata; Actinopteri; Salmoniformes; Salmonidae.